RNAcentral lists this ribosomal RNA (379 nucleotides) under uncultured bacterium. Its description in RNAcentral is "bacterial SSU rRNA". It matches the Rfam family "Bacterial small subunit ribosomal RNA", at positions 521 to 898 of the family's 1533-position model. The record is from RNAcentral.
UAAUACGUAGGUGGCAAGCGUUAUCCGGAAUUAUUGGGCGUAAAGCGCGCGUAGGCGGUUCGUUAAGUCUGAUGUGAAAGCCCCCGGCUCAACCGGGGAGGGUCAUUGGAAACUGGCGGACUUGAGUGCAGAAGAGGAGAGUGGAAUUCCAUGUGUAGCGGUGAAAUGCGCAGAGAUAUGGAGGAACACCAGUGGCGAAGGCGGCUCUCUGGUCUGCAACUGACGCUGAGGUGCGAAAGCGUGGGGAUCAAACAGGAUUAGAUACCCUGGUAGUCCACGCCGUAAACGAUGAGUGCUAAGUGUUAGGGGGUUUCCGCCCCUUAGUGCUGCAGCUAACGCAUUAAGCACUCCGCCUGGGGAGUACGGCCGCAAGGUUGAA